Molecule: ribosomal RNA, 279 nt
Filed under: uncultured soil bacterium
Lineage: Bacteria
Description: partial 16S ribosomal RNA
Rfam family: Bacterial small subunit ribosomal RNA
Source: RNAcentral
AGAAUCAACGCUGGCGGCGUGCCUCAGACAUGCAAGUCGAACGCGAAAGUCCCCUUCGGGGGACAAGUAGAGUGGCGCACGGGUGAGUAACACGUAGGUAAUCUACCUUCGGAUGGGGGAAUAACAACCGGAAACGGUUGCUAAUACCGCAUAAUGCAGCGGCACCUAAUGGUGACAGUUGUUAAAGCGGGGGAUCGAAAGACCUCGCGUCUGGAAGAGGAGCCUGCGGCGGAUUAGCUAGGUUGGUAGGGUAACGGCCUACCAAGGCGACGAUCCGUA